Non-coding RNA from Erinaceus europaeus (western European hedgehog), 275 nucleotides. Lineage: Eukaryota; Metazoa; Chordata; Mammalia; Eulipotyphla; Erinaceidae. The record is from Rfam.
GGAUGUGAGGGCGAUCUGGCUGUGACAUCUGUCACCCCAUUUAUCGCCAGGGUUGAUUCGGCUGAUCUGGCUGGCUAGGUGGGUGUCCCCUUCCUCCUUCAUCUCUCCAUGCAUGUCCCUGCCAAAGCUGUGAGCUCUGUCGAAGAGGACGGCCUUCCCCGAAUAGAGACUGACUGGUUUUUGGUCGAGGGUAUAAGAGUAACUGCGCUCCCCUGCUAGAACCUCCAAACAAGCUCUCAAGAUCCUAGGAGAACUAUGGUGGUAAUCUCUGAGGU